RNAcentral lists this ribosomal RNA (254 nucleotides) under uncultured bacterium. RNAcentral's name for it is "partial 16S ribosomal RNA". It matches the Rfam family "Bacterial small subunit ribosomal RNA", at positions 524 to 776 of the family's 1533-position model. The record is from RNAcentral.
UACGUAGGGGGCUAGCGUUGUCCGGAAUCAUUGGGCGUAAAGCGCGCGUAGGCGGCCCGGUAAGUCCGCUGUGAAAGUCAAAGGCUCAACCUUUGAAUGUCAGCGGAUACUGUCGGGCUAGAGUCCGGAAGAGGCGAGUGGAAUUCCUGGUGUAACGGUGGAAUGCGCAGAUAUCAGGAGGAACACCAACGGCGAAGGCAGCUCGCUGGGACGGUACUGACGCUGGAGGCGCGAAAGCGUGGGGAGCGAACAGG